ACAGAUCUCACCGAAGCCGUUGCUGCUGCUCUCCUCAGACUGCACCCCGACAAGCUGCAGGUCCUCGGUGACUGCUGGUCCUCAUUGAAGCCAUCUGUCAUGACCAAGCACAUUGGGGUGUGGAAGAAGGCCCUGUCGGGGAUUCUGAGGAGUGGACAUAUUCUACGCACUCGUGACCCUGGGAUCAAACACCUGCUCCAGGUCCUCGGCCAUCUCCACAGAGCAAACCAGAAAUCUGUAGAGACCCAGACAGUUCCAGACAGUACCUUUUGUAUGGAGGAGGUUCACUUCAAUCCCAUAUUUCUAGAGGAGGAUGUAAAGCUUUGGCGUUCAUGGUC
Long non-coding RNA from Salvelinus namaycush (lake trout), 338 nucleotides. RefSeq lists it as uncharacterized. The record is from RefSeq and is a predicted model, not a curated record. The transcript has 3 exons. Lineage: Eukaryota; Metazoa; Chordata; Actinopteri; Salmoniformes; Salmonidae.